GCGCAGGCGCGAUCUCGCGUUCUUUUCGAGGUCGGCCGCGUGGCUGGAAGACAUGGCUGCUGGCGUUGGUGUUGAGCGCGGCGAGCAGCUUCAGGCCUUUAGUGAUGAUGAGGCCUUUCUUUGGCAUCUGCAGAGACGGUGAAAAGCAGAGCUCCAGGUUGAAGGAGCAGAGUAAUGGAUGGAGCCCUAACAUGAGUAAGAAUGGGUUCAGGCAAGGCCUGAGUGGUCACCAAAAAUGAGAAAGCACAGAUGGUGCUAUCACAUACAUUCACGUCCUGCUUUAUUCUGAAGUUCAAGUGUGAGAAUACAUGUUGACAUACAAGCCAGCUAUGAUUAAAGGUGUUGGCUGUGGCCUUGGAAACAGUCAUGUGAAAACCCAUCACCUUAAGGUGUUGAGUGUAAGGAUCUUCAUGAUGAAGUUUCUUUAAAUGGUGCAGUGAGCCUCAGUUUCUGAGGCCGGAAAAGGAUCCUUUAGUAGCCACAUUGUGGCAGUUGCCCUGAACCAGGACCUGGACCCGGACCCAAAUUGCCAUGUCUUUAAUGCAUGUUAGCUACUAGCCAUGCCAGAUGGAAUCAGCACAGCCCUGCCUCUGCUGCUAAUUGUUCCUCUAAAGUAAUCGCCAUGCCUUCUUCGGGCUUCAUCUUUAAAGGAAUGAAGUGACUGAGAUUAUUCUGGAAAAGCUUUUGGCAGUUAGUGAAAUUAGAGUACAACUAAGAACAUUUUCAGACCUCCACUGUGGAUGACCUGGGUAUAAUCUCACAAAUCGAUGGGAAUGCAAGGAUUGUAAACUGAAAUGAACGCGAUUAUACUGUGUUGGAAGAGCCUAAGAGGAAACCGAUGCCACCGUUCUACCUCCUGGAUGGUCGUGAUCGUCGGGUGUGGCUGACUUGGAAGACUGAACCUGGGCUGGGCGGCUGAUUGAAGUCCCUUUGGGCUGCAGCAGCUGGUCUUUCAGGCUUUCCAUCUGGGCCCUGUGUACCCACCGCUUUUUCUAUGUGAUGAUUUGCCAGAAGAAUACUCCAUUUCAACAAACAGGUCUAUGGAAAGAAGCAAACUAAUUACAUGCAGCUUCUUUUAUGCCUGUGGCCCAGAUUUAGGAGUUCCAGACCAGCCUGGGAAACAGAUUUAGAAAUGGAAUCAAGCAUUGACAGUGCUGUGAUUGCUGAAGGCAGUCUACCUAUCCACGAGCGCGGCCCGUGCUGGCAGGGUUCGAAAACCUUGUCUGAGUUAAGGAACAAGAAGGGGGCACCCCCAGGCCAUCUCCCAUGACCUUUGGAAGGUGCAGAAAAGCCUCAACGUCUCCAUAGGAAGAAGCACAAAGUUGAGAGGAAGGGCAGAGCUCACAUGCUGUCCAGGUGGCCUCUGCAACAAAUAAUACGACCCUCCUCUGGAGAUUGGAAAGUAGAUUUCCUGGUGGGGCCAGGGAAGACUAGGCUGGGUUUUCUGAGCAGGGCUUUGUUAAAGAGGGGAUACCAUCUAUGCAGAGCCCACCCUAUCCACAGAGGCCAGCAGCAAUAGAUGGAACCAAGUCCAUCUGGAUCUGGGGCCUCCUCACCUUGGACCUAUAGCCAGCUACAUUAAGACACCUCUGCUGCCUUCUUCCGUGUCCUGACCACUUCCAUUUCCUGCUCUCUACACCAGGGCAGUUAGGAAGCGAGGCCUUGUAAAGAGAGGAGGCAGCAGGUAUCACAGAACUGGACCAGGCCCACUCCCCAAUCUCCUCAUUCUCCCAGCAAGCAGUGUGAGUGCCCAGCUUGUGCUGGGAAGAGGAGGUGAAGCACUGUGAACCAGAUAUGUGAGUGGGGCUUGAAACAGGGCUGGUCUGAGCUUUACCAGGCUAAAGUGAUGAAUCUGCCUAAGAUAUUGCUAAAGGACUGAAGGGAGUUGGCAUAGAGUGAUUGGAAGCAGUGAUUAGAAAAUAGAAAAUGGGCUGGGUACCAUGGCUCAUGCCUGGAAUCCCAGCACUUUGAGAGGCCAAAGAAGGCAGA
Cercocebus atys (sooty mangabey) is the source of this 1989-nucleotide long non-coding RNA. RefSeq lists it as uncharacterized. The transcript has 7 exons. NCBI's taxonomy places the organism in Eukaryota, Metazoa, Chordata, Mammalia, Primates, Cercopithecidae. The record is from RefSeq and is a predicted model, not a curated record.